RNAcentral lists this ribosomal RNA (253 nucleotides) under uncultured bacterium. Its description in RNAcentral is "partial 16S ribosomal RNA". It matches the Rfam family "Bacterial small subunit ribosomal RNA", at positions 524 to 776 of the family's 1533-position model. The record is from RNAcentral.
UACGAGGGGGGCAAGCGUUGUUCGGAAUUAUUGGGCGUAAAGGGUGCGUAGGCGGUUUUGUAAGUCUUGUGUGAAAUCUUCAGGCUCAACUUGAAGACUGCACGAGAAACUGCAGGGCUUGAGUGUGGGAGAGGUGAGUGGAAUUCCCGGUGUAGCGGUGAAAUGCGCAGAUAUCGGGAGGAACACCAGUAGCAAAGGCGGCUCGCUGGGCCAUUCCUGACGCUGAGACGCGAAAGCUAGGGGAGCGAACAGG